This 214-nucleotide unclassified non-coding RNA is filed under the name rhizosphere metagenome. RNAcentral's name for it is "partial ribosomal RNA internal transcribed spacer region". The record is from RNAcentral.
GUAGGUGAACCUGCGGAAGGAUCAUUAACGAAAUGGUGCGAAUAGCCGUUAGGCUAUUUGCAUAUUGACUCGGGAUGAUUUGCUGUGAGAGAUUGGAUGGAAACAUUCGAUUUACCGCAAUACUUCACUCCCUGAGACAUACACGCUUGCUUUGUUUGACUGAGUAACUAUUUGAUAAUAUAGACAACUUUUAACAAUGGAUCUCUUGGCUCUU